CCAACAGCUCUUUUUUAACGUUAUCAAUCGAUCAUCAGCUUUUGUUUUCUUAGCAAAUUUUCUUUUUUUUCCGCGUGGAUGCAGCGCUUUCUGUUAGGUAAUUUUCUUUUUUUUUACAUUUGUUUUUUAUAAAGUUAAUUAAAGUUAUCAAUCGGUCAUUAUUUUAUCUUUCGUAUCAAUUUCAUUCCAAAAAGUAACAAAUGUAAUUUAUCUCAGAAUAUACUAAAAUUUUAUUGAAAUGUUGAUAUUAAAUUAUGAUGAACUAAUAUACAAUAAUUAAAAUAAAAAUAUUAAUUUAGUUAUAUAUAAGUUAGAUUUAUUGAAUUUAAA
Molecule: long non-coding RNA, 330 nt
Filed under: Linum usitatissimum (flax)
Lineage: Eukaryota; Viridiplantae; Streptophyta; Magnoliopsida; Malpighiales; Linaceae
Description: long non-coding RNA (LUSI_LNC005762)
Source: RNAcentral